RNAcentral lists this transfer RNA (63 nucleotides) under Toxocara canis (dog roundworm). It matches the Rfam family "tRNA", at positions 1 to 62 of the family's 71-position model. From Rfam's summary of the family: Transfer RNA (tRNA) molecules are approximately 80 nucleotides in length. Lineage: Eukaryota; Metazoa; Nematoda; Chromadorea; Rhabditida; Toxocaridae. The record is from Rfam by way of RNAcentral.
GGGGCAAUAGCUCAGUGGUAGAGCUCCCGCUUGGUACGCGGGAAGGCCUGGGCUGCUUUCCCA